UGGGGAAUAUUGCACAAUGGGCGCAAGCCUGAUGCAGCCAUGCCGCGUGUAUGAAGAAGGCCUUCGGGUUGUAAAGUACUUUCAGUCGGGAGGAAGGUGGUAAGGUUAAUAACCUUGGCAAUUGACGUUACCGACAGAAGAAGCACCGGCUAACUCCGUGCCAGCAGCCGCGGUAAUACGGAGGGUGCAAGCGUUAAUCGGAAUUACUGGGCGUAAAGCGCACGCAGGCGGUUGAUUGAGUCAGAUGUGAAAUCCCCGGGCUUAACCCGGGAAUUGCAUCUGAUACUGGUAAGCUAGAGUCUUGUAGAGGGAGGUAGAAUUCCAUGUGUAGCGGGGAAAUGCGUAGAGAUGUGGAGGAAUACCGGUGGCGAAGGCGGCCACCUGGACAAAGACUGACGCUAAGGUGCGAAAGCGUGGGGAGCAAACAGG
This 429-nucleotide ribosomal RNA is filed under the name Chloroflexota bacterium. Its description in RNAcentral is "Chloroflexi bacterium partial 16S ribosomal RNA". It matches the Rfam family "Bacterial small subunit ribosomal RNA", at positions 355 to 776 of the family's 1533-position model. The record is from RNAcentral. Lineage: Bacteria; Bacillati; Chloroflexota.